GCCUCCGUAACUCAGAUGGAUAGAGUGCCGGCCUUCUAAUCCGGAAGUCGUUGGUUCAACUCCAACCGGGGGCA
Molecule: transfer RNA, 74 nt
Filed under: Arthrobacter sp. BA34(2011)
Lineage: Bacteria; Bacillati; Actinomycetota; Actinomycetes; Micrococcales; Micrococcaceae
Also listed under: 1 other name
Description: tRNA-Arg
Rfam family: tRNA
About the family: Transfer RNA (tRNA) molecules are approximately 80 nucleotides in length. Their secondary structure includes four short double-helical elements and three loops (D, anti-codon, and T loops).
Source: RNAcentral